Molecule: long non-coding RNA, 562 nt
Organism: Microtus ochrogaster (prairie vole)
Lineage: Eukaryota; Metazoa; Chordata; Mammalia; Rodentia; Cricetidae
Source: RefSeq, a predicted model, not a curated record
GAAAACAUAAAACACAGCUUCAACAAAUCUGAAAUUCUGGCCACAUAGUUUUCCACGCUGAGACUUUCUUUGUCAUUGAUGUUCUCUUUUGAACCAACCUAGACUUGAGGGAGGUCAGAGGUCUCGCAGAACUGCACUGUAUCAUUUGGCCGAAUAAAUCAGCAUGCUCCCAAAAAUAAGCAGCUCUUCCUUUGAAUUGUGGAUAACAACGUGAGAGCUCGAUGAUUAUAGUUCAACUUGAUCUGGCUUACUGCAUUGGCAGAGAAACCUAUUACCUGACUACAGAAAACCUAUUAGUUGGACCACUGGACUUCACCCAGAGUGCCCUAACAUGUUUCAGCAGCUGAAUCAGUGGACUUCAGCUAUGUUCACACUCUGAUUACAUCUUUCUCUCCAAAUAGACAGCACUGACAGGGAAGAAAAAAAGAAACAGAAAAGAGUCUGCGAAAACAACUGACAAACUGGCAUAAUCCAGGGAGAGUGUAUUCAUAGUCAGCACUGAAAAGAGGUAGUACAUUGCUAGAACCAUGUGGAUAACUUUCAAAAAUAUAAAGUCUGGAGA